GCGUUCAUAGCUCAGUUGGUUAGAGCACCACCUUGACAUGGUGUUGGUCGUUGGUUCGAGUCCAAUUGAACGCACCA
RNAcentral lists this transfer RNA (77 nucleotides) under Salmonella enterica subsp. enterica serovar Rissen. RNAcentral describes it as "tRNA-Val". It matches the Rfam family "tRNA". Rfam says of the family: Transfer RNA (tRNA) molecules are approximately 80 nucleotides in length. Lineage: Bacteria; Pseudomonadati; Pseudomonadota; Gammaproteobacteria; Enterobacterales; Enterobacteriaceae. The record is from RNAcentral.